This 1902-nucleotide ribosomal RNA is filed under the name Triticum aestivum (bread wheat). RNAcentral's name for it is "partial small subunit ribosomal RNA". The record is from RNAcentral. Lineage: Eukaryota; Viridiplantae; Streptophyta; Magnoliopsida; Poales; Poaceae.
AUGUCAGGGAGGAGAAACAGAGGCGGAGCAAGCGCGCCUCCUGCACUUGCCCCUCCUGGACCCGGAGAGAGGCCACCGCCACCCUCCCAGAGCUCCAGGAGGCCGGCGGCCGCCACCUUGGAACAGCGGCUGCGUUCCAGUGUCGAGCGGGAGAUAGACGAGGCCAGGGUCAUGCAGCGCGCCCCCUCCCACUCCACCUCCGCCCCGUCAUCAUCGCGGUCAAGCUUCUGGCCGCGAGCGCGGCAGGCGGCUAGGAAGGUUCUUGGCAUCAGCAAGAAACCCUCCGCGAGGUCAGCAGCAGGAACCCCGCACGGGCAGGAGACGGUACCUGAGGCCACCGGCACGUCGGAGUCGGCGGCCGUGGCGGCGGCAAGAACUGGCACCGGUGAUGAAGCCGGGUCGGGGCAGCAGCCUGUAGAGGUCGCCCCCACGCGGUCUGAGUUCGCCGCCAUGAUGCAAACUGCGUUGGCGAAGAUCCAGGAGGGUGACGCGGCCGACGACCAAGCCAAACGGCAGGCAGCGAUCGCCGAGAUGGAGAAGGCAAUGACGUUCGCCGAGAUGGAGAAGGCAAUGACUGCGUUGAUGAAGAUCCAGGAGGAUGCCGCGGCCGGCGACGAAGCCCAAGGGCAGGCAGCGUUCGCCGAGAUGGAGAAGGCAAUGACCGGCCUCAUGGACCUCUCCCACAAGAAGACAUCGGGGCCACCGAAACUCCCUCGCGAUUUCGCUACCAAAUGGCCUCAUAGCGAUGGCGAUCCACUGCUUGAACGAGUAAUGAAAGAUCCUAUUAUAUUGGCUUCUGGAUAUACUGUUGAUAAAUCAUGCCAACAGUGGUCCCUUGCACAGAAAAAUACCUGCCCUGUUACUGGUCACUCCUUGCCCCACUCACUCACUGCUCCAAACCACCUCCUCCAUGACAUGAUUGCUGAGUGGUGCCUCGACCACUCUAAUCUUGCCCGCUCCAGCAUUGGACGCUCGCUCCCCUUGGUGCCACCUGCAGAGGAUGAAAUUCAAGAGAUCCUAGAACUGUUCUCAGGGCAUUCAGUACGGCAGAAAGAGGCCUUGCGGAUGCUAAAUCUAAUGUCCAAAACAUCCAAGGGAAUGCAACCUUGCCUUGCCAAGUGGCCAGAGCUGACCCCACUGCUGAUGGAUCUUAGGAAGCACUGGAUGAAUGUAUGGUCAGCUGAUAUUGAGGCGCAGAGGAUCUCAUUAAUCCAUAAUUUGUCCAUGCACAGGCCCAACAGGGAGAUCCUAGCCGGUCAGAAUGAAGUACCAGCUGUUCUAAAGAAUGUCGUCGAGAGGGCAGGAAAGCUUGGACUUUCAGCAUCAUUGUUGGCCAUGGUAGCUUCUAUAAUUGCAACACUGUCAGAGUUUGAUGUGUUCAGGAAAAGAAUGGUGACAAUAGGGGGAAUGAAAAUGCUCAGUGGUCUACUCAAGAUUGAGGAUGUUGUACUAAGGAAGGAGACUGGCGCUGCAAUCCUUGCACUCUGUGCAGAUGAGGAGGCCAAGUUAUCAGCUGCUGUUAGUGACGUGCCUGAUAAGCUGCUGGAAUGCUUCAUGGCCACCGAUGAGUUCCUGCUCCUGCUCGACCGUCUACCAAAAUCUCCAGAGGCGCUGAACAUGAUCUGUGACAAGGCUAUGGAAUUGGUGAAUAUCGUCAUGGAGGAAGAUGCUGGUGGAAUGGUGACCUCUCAGGGCAUCCACUCUGCGAUCUCCUUGAUCUUCGUCAUUACUGAGAGGGAUGUGGGUAAGCUGAAGGUGAAGAACGUGGAGGAUUUCAAGGAGCGGCUGCGGGAGCUUUCGUCCAAGAGAAUACCGAUGCAGACAAUGUUUCAGGUGGAAAAAAUAACUAAGACGCUGUCAGAAAUGUUUCCAGCUCCGACGACGCAGUUACAGAACCAGUAG